Molecule: ribosomal RNA, 497 nt
Filed under: uncultured bacterium
Lineage: Bacteria
Description: partial 16S ribosomal RNA
Rfam family: Bacterial small subunit ribosomal RNA
Source: RNAcentral
GAGGAAAGAGGGAGGAGGGAAGAAGAAAGGAAAGUAGAGAGAACAGAUGAGGAGCUUGCUCCUCUGACGUUAGCGGCGGACGGGUGAGUAACACGUGGAUAACCUACCUAUAAGACUGGGAUAACUUCGGGAAACCGGAGCUACUACCGGAUAAUAUAUUGAACCGCAUGGUUCAAUAGUGAAAGACGGUUUUGCUGUCACUUAUAGAUGGAUCCGCGCCGCAUUAGCUAGUUGGUAAGGUAACGGCUUACCAAGGCAACGAUGCGUAGCCGACCUGAGAGGGUGAUGGGCCACACUGGAACUGAGACACGGUCCAGACUCCUACGGGAGGCAGCAGUAGGGAAUCUUCCGCAAUGGGCGAAAGCCUGACGGAGCAACGCCGCGUGAGUGAUGAAGGUCUUCGGAUCGUAAAACUCUGUUAUUAGGGAAGAACAAAUGUGUAAGUAACUAUGCACGUCUUGAGGGUACCUAAUCAGAAAGCCACGGCUAACUACGUA